UACAGAGGGGGCAAGCGUUGUUCGGAAUUACUGGGCGUAAAGGGCGCGUAGGCGGCCAACUAAGUCGGACGUGAAAUCCCCGGGCUCAACCCGGGAACUGCGUCCGAUACUGGAUGGCUUGAAUCCGGGAGAGGGAUGUGGAAUUCCAGGCGUAGCGGUGAAAUGCGUAGGUAUCUGGAGGAACACCGGUGGCGAAGGCGGCAUCCUGGACCGGUAUUGACGCUGAGGCGCGAAAGCCAGGGGAGCAAACGGG
Molecule: ribosomal RNA, 253 nt
Filed under: uncultured bacterium
Lineage: Bacteria
Description: partial 16S ribosomal RNA
Rfam family: Bacterial small subunit ribosomal RNA
Source: RNAcentral